AACGAACGCUGGCGGCGCGUCUUAACCAUGCAAGUCGAGCGGCAGGCAGCAAUGCCGAGAGCGGCGGACUGGUGAGUAACACGUGGAUAACGUACCCCGAUGUCCGGGACAGCCUGUAGAAAUAGAGGGUAAUACCGGAUAGAUCACUGUUUACGUGAGGUAGACAGCGGGAAAGGAGCUUCGGCUCCGCGACGGGAUCGGUCUGCGGCCCAUCAGCUGGACGGCGGGGUAAAGGCCCGCCGUGGCGAGGACGGGUAUCCGGCCUGAGAGGGCGGACGGACACAUUGGGACUGAGAUACGGCCCAGACUCCUACGGGAGGCAGCAGGUAGGAAUAUUCCGCAAUGGGGGGAACCCUGACGGAGCGACGCCGCGUGAACGAAGAAGGCCGGAAGGUUGUAAAGUUCUUUUCUGUCCGAGGAAUAAGUUUCGGAGGAAAUGCCGGGACGGUGACGGUAGGGCAGGAAUAAGCACCGGCUAAUUACGUG
RNAcentral lists this ribosomal RNA (486 nucleotides) under uncultured bacterium. RNAcentral's name for it is "partial 16S ribosomal RNA". It matches the Rfam family "Bacterial small subunit ribosomal RNA", at positions 29 to 507 of the family's 1533-position model. The record is from RNAcentral.